Molecule: ribosomal RNA, 427 nt
Filed under: uncultured bacterium
Lineage: Bacteria
Description: bacterial SSU rRNA
Rfam family: Bacterial small subunit ribosomal RNA
Source: RNAcentral
UGGGGAAUUUUGGACAAUGGGCGCAAGCCUGAUCCAGCCAUGCCGCGUGAGUGAAGAAGGCCUUCGGGUUGUAAAGCUCUUUCGGCCGGGAAGAAAUCGUGUUCUCUAACAUAGGACAUGGAUGACGGUACCGGACUAAGAAGCACCGGCUAACUACGUGCCAGCAGCCGCGGUAAUACGUAGGGUGCGAGCGUUAAUCGGAAUUACUGGGCGUAAAGCGUGCGCAGGCGGUUUUGUAAGACAGAUGUGAAAUCCCCGGGCUUAACCGGGGAACGGCGUCUGGGACUGCAAGGCUGGAGUACGGCAGAGGGGGGUGGAAUUCCACGUGGGGCAGUGAAAUGCGUAGAGAUGUGGAGGAACACCGAUGGCGAAGGCAGCCCCCUGGGCCUGUACUGACGCUCAUGCACGAAAGCGUGGGGAGCAAACA